Salvia miltiorrhiza (redroot sage) is the source of this 752-nucleotide long non-coding RNA. RefSeq lists it as uncharacterized. The transcript is spliced from 3 exons. NCBI's taxonomy places the organism in Eukaryota, Viridiplantae, Streptophyta, Magnoliopsida, Lamiales, Lamiaceae. The record is from RefSeq and is a predicted model, not a curated record.
ACCCUACCACUACCACCAAAGGAAGACACAAUAUUAUCACUACCGUGCCUCUCUCUCUCAACCAAACCAAGACCGUGAGACACCGCCGACGAGCAGGAGCAACUAGUUUCCUCGCCGCCGUGCCUCCAUUCUCGCCGUUGUGCCUCCGUUCUUGCUGCCGUGCCUCCGUUCUCGUCGCCAAGGUUUAGAGGAUGCGUUACAUGAAAGAAAUUAUUGAAGAGCUUAUGAAGAAUGGUCGCUUUUGCCUAUACAUUCACAUGAUAUUGAUGAAGUUCGUGUUGAGUGGGUAAAUCUCAUUCUUAGUCACAUAUAAAAAGUAGAGGUAAUAUUCUACAACUUUGGUUUACUAAUAUGGAUUUGUGUUAUAGAUAUACUAGUAUAUGUUUAUUUGGUCUAUUGAUUUUAAUGAAAGAAAUAUACUUUUGAAAUAAUAUAUGUUGCAAUUAGCUGGAAUUUUGUUUGAAAUGUAAGAAAUGCUUUGUUGACAUGAUUGUUUUAUAUGUUUUCAUGGCAAAUAUUGUUUUAAUUUUGUGCCAGGAUAUGUUGGAAAUGAAGCAAAAACAGGAGACUUUUGCUGAAUUUUCCAUGAAGAUUCUUCAACAAUAGACUACUAGAUAUUGUUUUGAAAAAAAAUAUUGUACUCUUUGUUUUGUAUAUUUAAUCUCUUGUCGUUGUUAGCUUCAUUUCAGUGUACAUUAACAGAAUAUGAAAUAUUGUGAAAUUAUAUAUGAUAAUUAUAAUUUUUUAGUGUA